CCCGCCCGUUUAGUGCCCGAAGUUAACGCAUUAAGCACCCCGCCUGGGGAGUACGCCCGCAAGUCUUGAAAACUUCAAAGGAAUUGAGCGGGCGGCCCGCACAAGCGGUGGAGCAGGUGGUUUAAUUGGAAAGCAACGGGAAGAACCUUAGCAGGUCUUGACAUCCUCUGAACACCCUAGAGAUAGGGCUUCUCCUUCGGGAGCAGAGUGACAGGUGGUGCAUGGUUCUCGUCAGCUCGUGUCGUGAGAUGUUGGGUUAAGUCCCGCAACGAGCGCAACCCUUGAUCUUAGUCGCCAUCAUUAAGUGGGGCACUAUAAGGUGACUGCCGGUGACAAACCGGAGGAAGGUGGGGAUGACGUCAAAUCAUCAUGCCCCUUAUGACCUGGGGUACACACGUGCUACAAUGGACGGUACAAAGAGCUGCAAGACCGCGAGGUGGAGCUAAUCUCAUAAAACCGUUCUCAGUUCGGAUUGUAGGCUGCAACUCGCCUACAUGAAGCUGGAAUCGCUAGUAAUCGCGGAUCAGCAUGCCGCGGUGAAUACGUUCCCGGGCCUUGUACACACCGCCCGUCACACCACGAGAGUUUGUAACACCCGAA
Molecule: ribosomal RNA, 600 nt
Filed under: extreme arid zone bacterium HX-IE32
Lineage: Bacteria
Description: bacterial SSU rRNA
Rfam family: Bacterial small subunit ribosomal RNA
Source: RNAcentral